RNAcentral lists this Y RNA (102 nucleotides) under Prolemur simus (greater bamboo lemur). RNAcentral's name for it is "Y RNA (ENSPSMG00000011341.1)". It matches the Rfam family "Y RNA". Rfam says of the family: Y RNAs are components of the Ro ribonucleoprotein particle (Ro RNP), in association with Ro60 and La proteins. Lineage: Eukaryota; Metazoa; Chordata; Mammalia; Primates; Lemuridae. The record is from Rfam by way of RNAcentral.
GGUUGGUCCCAGUGCAAUGGUGUUUACAACUAAUUGAUCACAACCAGUUACAGAUUCCUUUGUUCCUUCUCCACUCCCACUGCUCCACUUGACCAGCCUUAA